Molecule: ribosomal RNA, 275 nt
Filed under: uncultured bacterium
Lineage: Bacteria
Description: partial 16S ribosomal RNA
Rfam family: Bacterial small subunit ribosomal RNA
Source: RNAcentral
CCUACGGGAGGCUGCAGUCGGGAAUUUUGGGCAAUGGGCGCAAGCCUGACCCAGCAACGCCGCGUGAAGGAUGAAAUCCUUCGGGAUGUAAACUUCACAAGAACGGGAAGAAUAAGCGUAGGUUAAUACCCUGCGUGAUGACGGUACUGUUUGUAAGCUCCGGCUAACUCCGUGCCAGCAGCCGCGGUAAUACGGGGGGAGCAAGCGUUGUUCGGAUUUACUGGGCGUAAAGGGCGCGUAGGCGGUCACUACAAGUCACUUGUGAAAUCUCUGGG